UUCCCUACGGGAGGCAGCAGUGAGGAAUAUUGGUCAAUGGACGCAAGUCUGAACCAGCCAUGCCGCGUGCAGGAUGACGGCUCUAUGAGUUGUAAACUGCUUUUGUACGAGGGUAAACCCCGAUACGUGUAUCGGGUUGAAAGUAUCGUACGAAUAAGGAUCGGCUAACUCCGUGCCAGCAGCCGCGGUAAUACGGAGGAUCCGAGCGUUAUCCGGAUUUAUUGGGUUUAAAGGGUGCGUAGGCGGAUCGUUAAGUCAGUGGUCAAAUUGAGGGGCUCAACCCCUUCCCGCCAUUGAAACUGGCG
RNAcentral lists this ribosomal RNA (305 nucleotides) under uncultured bacterium. RNAcentral describes it as "bacterial SSU rRNA". It matches the Rfam family "Bacterial small subunit ribosomal RNA", at positions 335 to 638 of the family's 1533-position model. The record is from RNAcentral.